This 203-nucleotide long non-coding RNA is filed under the name Gossypium barbadense (sea-island cotton). RNAcentral's name for it is "long non-coding RNA (GBAR_LNC001466)". Lineage: Eukaryota; Viridiplantae; Streptophyta; Magnoliopsida; Malvales; Malvaceae. The record is from RNAcentral.
UUUUACUAACGAAAUUUUCUUAUUUCGCGAUUCUUUAACCUCAUGAGCUAAGAUACGGAUCGGUUCCUCUUCAUAAGUCAUAUUGGACCGAAUUUCUAUUUCUGACGGAGAAAUCACAUGCGAGGGAUCAGAUCUAUAUCGUCGAACCACCGCUAUGUGAAACACAUUAUGGAUCUUUUCUAAUUACGAUGGCAAUAACAAUC